This 253-nucleotide ribosomal RNA is filed under the name uncultured bacterium. Its description in RNAcentral is "partial 16S ribosomal RNA". It matches the Rfam family "Bacterial small subunit ribosomal RNA", at positions 524 to 776 of the family's 1533-position model. The record is from RNAcentral.
UACGAAGGGGGCUAGCGUUGCUCGGAAUCACUGGGCGUAAAGGGUGCGCAGGCGGCCGUGUGUGUGAGGCGUGAAAGCCCGGGGCUUAACCCCGGAAUUGCACCUCAAACUACACGGCUAGAGCAUUGGAGAGGGUAGCGGAAUUCACGGUGUAGCAGUGAAAUGCGUAGAUAUCGUGAGGAACACCAGAGGCGAAGGCGGCUACCUGGACAAUUGCUGACGCUCAGGCACGAAAGCGUGGGGAGCAAACAGG